UACGUAGGGCGCAAGCGUUGUCCGGAAUUAUUGGGCGUAAAGAGCUCGUAGGCGGUCUGUCGCGUCUGCUGUGAAAACUUAGGGCUUAACCCUGAGCUUGCAGUGGGUACGGGCAGACUAGAGUGCGGUAGGGGAGACUGGAAUUCCUGGUGUAGCGGUGAAAUGCGCAGAUAUCAGGAGGAACACCGGUGGCGAAGGCGGGUCUCUGGGCCGUAACUGACGCUGAGGAGCGAAAGCAUUGGGAGCGAACAGG
RNAcentral lists this ribosomal RNA (253 nucleotides) under uncultured bacterium. RNAcentral's name for it is "partial 16S ribosomal RNA". It matches the Rfam family "Bacterial small subunit ribosomal RNA", at positions 524 to 776 of the family's 1533-position model. The record is from RNAcentral.